CGAAAGCCUGACGGAGCAAUACCGCGUGAGGGAGGAAGGCUCUUGGGUUGUAAACCUCUUUUCUCAGGGAAGAAAAAAAUGACGGUACCUGAGGAAUAAGCAUCGGCUAACUCCGUGCCAGCAGCCGCGGUAAUACGGAGGAUGCAAGCGUUAUCCGGAAUGAUUGGGCGUAAAGCGUCCGCAGGUGGCUGUGUAAGUCUGCUGUUAAAGAGUCUAGCUCAACUAGAUAAGAGCAGUGGAAACUACAUGGCUAGAGUGCGUUCGGGGCAGAGGGAAUUCCUGGUGUAGCGGUGAAAUGCGUAGAGAUCAGGAAGAACACCGGUGGCGAAAGCGCUCUGCUAGGCCGCAACUGACACUGAGGGACGAAAGCUAGGGGAGCGAAUGGGAUUAGAUACCCCAGUAGUCCUAGCCGUAAACGAUGGAUACUAGGCGUGGCUUGUAUCGACCCGAGCCGUGCCGUAGCUAACGCGUUAAGUAUCCCGCCUGGGGAGUACGCCGGCAACGGUGAAACUCAAAGGAAUUGACGGGGGCCCGCACAAGCGGUGGAGUAUGUGGUUUAAUUCGAUGCAACGCGAAGAACCUUACCAAGACUUGACAUGUCGCGAAACCCUGUGAAAGUAGGGAGUGCCUUCGGGAGCGCGAACACAGGUGGUGCAUGGCUGUCGUCAGCUCGUGUCGUGAGAUGUUGGGUUAAGUCCCGCAACGAGCGCAACCCUCGUUUUUAGUUGCCAGCAUUAAGUUGGGCACUCUAGAGAGACUGCCGGUGACAAACCGGAGGAAGGUGGGGAUGACGUCAAGUCAGCAUGCCCCUUACGUCUUGGGCUACACACGUACUACAAUGCUACGGACAAAGGGCAGCUACACAGCGAUGUGAUGCAAAUCUCAUAAACCGUAGCUCAGUUCAGAUCGCAGGCUGCAACUCGCCUGCGUGAAGUCGGAAUCGCUAGUAAUUGCAGGUCAGCAUACUGCAGUGAAUUCGUUCCCGGGCCUUGUACACACCGCCCGUCACACCAUGGAAGCUGGUAGUGCCCGAAGUCAUUACUCCAACCUUUAUUGGGGGAGGAUGCCUAAGGCAGGACUGGUGACUGGGGUGAAGUCGUAACAAGGUAGCCGUACCGGAAGGUGUGGCUGGAUCACCUCCUUUUAGGGAGACCUCAUCCACUCAAAUAUCGAUUGCACAAAGCAAAUAGAUACUGAGAUGGUCUAUCCUAGGUCGGUCGAGAUUAGUUAAAAGCUUUCAAAGUGUUGUUUGUUCGGUCUAAAAAAUGAGUGCAAAGAUGUUUAAGGUGAAUUCAGCAAUAUGACAUGAAGUCAGACUGCUGGAUGAGACCAGCCAGAACCUUGAAAACUGCAUAGUAACGCGAAAAAAGCAGGCAGACACAGACGAAAAAUGGAAGUGUUUGCAGAUGUAGAGUGGUCAAGCUAAUAAGGGCUGACGGU
RNAcentral lists this ribosomal RNA (1440 nucleotides) under Microchaete violacea ACOI 3057. The stretch from base 1 to 1144 matches the Rfam family "Bacterial small subunit ribosomal RNA", at positions 376 to 1533 of the family's 1533-position model. The record is from RNAcentral. Lineage: Bacteria; Bacillati; Cyanobacteriota; Cyanophyceae; Nostocales; Rivulariaceae.